This 392-nucleotide ribosomal RNA is filed under the name uncultured bacterium. RNAcentral describes it as "partial 16S ribosomal RNA". It matches the Rfam family "Bacterial small subunit ribosomal RNA", at positions 523 to 918 of the family's 1533-position model. The record is from RNAcentral.
CUACGGAGGAUCCGAGCGUUAUCCGGAUUUAUUGGGUUUAAAGGGUGCGCAGGCGGCCAUUUAAGUCAGCGGUUAAAUCGUGGGGCUCAACCCCAUUCUGCCGUUGAUACUGGGUGGCUUGAUUGCGGUCGAGGUUGGCGGAAUUCGUUGUGUAGCGGUGAAAUGCAUAGAUAUGACGAAGAACACCGAUUGCGUAGGCAGCUGACCAGACCGCAAAUGACGCUCAUGCACGAAAGUGCGGGGAUCGAACAGGAUUAGAUACCCUGGUAGUCCGCACAGUAAACGAUGAAUACUUGUUUUCGGCGAUAUAAUGUCGGAGGCAAAGCGAAAGCGAUAAGUAUUCCACCUGGGGAGUACGCCGGCAACGGUGAAACUCAAAUGAAUGGACGGGG